CCUUAGGUGUGAGGAUGAGAAGUGGAAUGGAUAAGAUCAAAAGGAUAUUUCAUCCUUAUCCAUUCAUGGUUCCAUGAUCUUCACACCAUUUGCCCACACGCCAUCAUCUUGAUCAUGCCUCAAGCCUUCCAUCACGUGCCAUCAUAAGAUCAAGUAAUUAAAUCCUCAUCCAAUGGUGGACAUCAUGAUCUAAUGGCUAGAAUUGCAUGCGCUAUCAUCCUUGAUCCAUAUCAUCAUCCAAUGAUGAUUCAAGGGCUCCAAUCCAAAACAUCGUAUCAUGAUCCCAUUAUGUCUUCGUCUAAUGGCUGAUGAAGAUCAAUUGGUCAUGAUUAAAGACCCCAUCUAAACCAAUCCAAUUGGGUUCAAUCCAACUCACCAUUAUGUCUUCAUCCAACGGUAGAUGAAGAUCUAACGGUCUAAAAUGAAUGAUUUAUCAAAUCUAAUCCAAUUAGACUCAAACCAAGCCAAUUAGCUGCCAACUCUUGGCUAACCCAUAUUAGGAUAUGAUCUAAUCAAAUUUGAUCAAUUAAGAAUCAGAUUUGAAUCUAAUUCGAAUCAGAUUCGAAUUCAAUUCGAAUCAGGAGCUAAGGUUUGCAACACGUGCUAGCAUGUUCAACUUGCAAACAUGAUCUAAUCUAAUUAGACCCUUGAUCAGUUUUCUUGUAUGUGACCCAUUGGGUUCCAUACUUAGCCAGCAGUAGGUGUGAGUUCGAGUUGACCUAACCUGAUUAGAACUCUUCUAAUCGAUUUAGGUCCAAACUGCGCGAACCCGAUCUUAACAAUUAGAACUCUUUCUAAUUGGUGAUCGAAUUAAACUCUUUAAUUCGAUCAAUCCUACAAGACAAGAUUGAUGUCUAGCAAUGUGUCAUGUCUACCUGAAAAAUAUGGAAUUUGGUGGAAAUACCAAAAAUAUCUUUCAGUGGCAAGUUACCGUGCAAUUCAAUCCUUCAAUCAAACUACAUCCCGAAUAUGUAUAUGAGCAUGAAUCUAUGUCAAACUCAUUUAUAUAUUCAUGUUUCUUUUAAUCUUCUAAUGAUAAUUCGAAUCAUGAAAUAUUAGAAAUUUUUUCUAAUUUUCAUUCUGCUUUGAUCAAAGACUCCGUGAAUUAUCAUAUAAUUAGAAUAAAUGGGAUGCGAUCUUCUCUUACUAGAAGUGAUUGAUUCCUUGUUGACCUACUCAUAAUCUUCGCACACAAUCCACCAUAUUCAGAAGACCUCGUACACAACUUAUUGUCAUGAAUGAGUGUAAACCAAAACAUGAAUUUUUGUGCACAAGAUACCAUGGUGAUCUCAGGUUGAAGGAUCAGUUGCACAACUCCCACUAAGAGAAUCAUUUUUUGACAUGUAAGUAAGACUUCAUAAGAUAUUCUCUUGGCAGGUCAAUUCAGUGAACUCAUUCUUCUAAUGGGCACCCACAUCUUUGUAUUAGUGUCUCCACACAAGUGAUUAUGAGAUCAAUCAUCCUCUGCAUCAAGCAUACAUAAGAUGUGCCAGUCUUUCCGGUAGCAUUGAUCCCCGACUCAAUGUACCAAUGAUUAGGAAUAUUUAAAUGUCAGAUACAUGAUUUGGAAAAUCAAAGAAAAAUCCUUCGCAAUGCAAAUUGCGAUUGGCUUGUAGGGCAUCUAUUCUUUCAUAAUAUCCAUGCAUGAGUAUGUUGCGUACAAAAUGGCCUUGGCCUAACUCAACAAAUUUAAAGGAGCUGAUUAAUCAAUGAUGUUACCUAAACACCGGGCAUGAGUUGCAAGUGUCUACAUCUCCUGAAGUGUCUGACACUUUAAAAAAGUCAGACAGGGGUAUAGUUUCAUAUCAUACAAUGGAC
Molecule: long non-coding RNA, 1818 nt
Filed under: Phoenix dactylifera (date palm)
Lineage: Eukaryota; Viridiplantae; Streptophyta; Magnoliopsida; Arecales; Arecaceae
Description: long non-coding RNA (PDAC_LNC006761)
Source: RNAcentral